RNAcentral lists this small RNA (122 nucleotides) under Caenorhabditis brenneri. Its description in RNAcentral is "sRNA CBN34338". The record is from RNAcentral. Lineage: Eukaryota; Metazoa; Nematoda; Chromadorea; Rhabditida; Rhabditidae.
UUUUGAAGUGAGUUAUGCGCCUUAGAAGUUGGAGGUGAAACGGCAGAGAAGCAGACAGUCUGUUUCUCUGCCCCUCUCACUCUCUCAGCUCCAACUUCAAAGGCGCAUAACUGAUGUAGACA